RNAcentral lists this transfer RNA (76 nucleotides) under Dethiobacter alkaliphilus. RNAcentral's name for it is "tRNA-Thr". It matches the Rfam family "tRNA". From Rfam's summary of the family: Transfer RNA (tRNA) molecules are approximately 80 nucleotides in length. Their secondary structure includes four short double-helical elements and three loops (D, anti-codon, and T loops). Further hydrogen bonds mediate the characteristic L-shaped molecular structure. tRNAs have two regions of fundamental functional importance: the anti-codon, which is responsible for specific mRNA codon recognition, and the 3' end, to which the tRNAs corresponding amino acid is attached (by aminoacyl-tRNA synthetases). tRNAs cope with the degeneracy of the genetic code in two manners: having more than one tRNA (with a specific anti-codon) for a particular amino acid; and 'wobble' base-pairing, i.e. permitting non-standard base-pairing at the 3rd anti-codon position. RNAcentral also lists the same sequence under 1 other name. The record is from RNAcentral. Lineage: Bacteria; Bacillati; Bacillota; Dethiobacteria; Dethiobacterales; Dethiobacteraceae.
GCUCACGUAGCUCAGUAGGUAGAGCACAUCCUUGGUAAGGAUGAGGUCAGCGGUUCAAUCCCGCUCGUGAGCUCCA